Molecule: ribosomal RNA, 304 nt
Filed under: uncultured bacterium
Lineage: Bacteria
Description: bacterial SSU rRNA
Rfam family: Bacterial small subunit ribosomal RNA
Source: RNAcentral
AUUGAACGCUGGCGGCAUGCCUUACACAUGCAAGUCGAACGGCAGCACGGGAGCAAUCCUGGUGGCGAGUGGCGAACGGGUGACGUAAUGUAUCGGAACGUACCUUUCAGUGGGGGAUAACGUAGCGAAAGUUACGCUAAUACCGCAUAAUUCUGUGAGCAGGAAAGCAGGGGAUCGCAAGACCUUGCGCUGAUUGAGCGGCCGAUAUCAGAUUAGCUAGUUGGUGAGGUAAAGGCUCACCAAGGCGACGAUCUGUAGCGGGUCUGAGAGGGAUGAUCCGCCACGACUGGAACUGAGACACGGU